This 254-nucleotide ribosomal RNA is filed under the name uncultured bacterium. RNAcentral describes it as "partial 16S ribosomal RNA". It matches the Rfam family "Bacterial small subunit ribosomal RNA", at positions 524 to 776 of the family's 1533-position model. The record is from RNAcentral.
UACGUAGGGUGCGAGCGUUGUCCGGAAUUAUUGGGCGUAAAGAGCUCGUAGGCGGUGUGUCACGUCGGCCGUGAAAACCUGCAGCUUAACUGUGGGCGUGCGGUCGAUACGGGCAUCACUGGAGUUCGGCAGGGGAGACUGGAAUUCCUGGUGUAGCGGUGAAAUGCGCAGAUAUCAGGAGGAACACCGGCGGCGAAGGCGGGUCUCUGGGCCGAUACUGACGCUGAGGAGCGAAAGCGUGGGGAGCAAACAGG